Seriola aureovittata is the source of this 7340-nucleotide long non-coding RNA. RefSeq lists it as uncharacterized. The transcript is spliced from 2 exons. Lineage: Eukaryota; Metazoa; Chordata; Actinopteri; Carangiformes; Carangidae. The record is from RefSeq and is a predicted model, not a curated record.
UCCCAGGACUCCUCUUUCGGGCGAGAGAACUUGACAACAAAUGUCCAACAGUUUAGAGUUUGAAUCUCAAGCGACUUUGGGCUUUUUGGAUUUAUUGAUUGUAAAAAAUAUUGUCAGAUGGAACAAUAUGGCAGAAGUGUCAGGAUCUGCUUGUCUCUCUCGCCAUCUGUCUGUGGCUGCAAGAUAGUAUGUUCGGUACAAGGCGAAAGGUGUAGUUAUGAUGUUAGAUACAUACAAAUACUCAGUGCUCCCAGCUGCUGUCCCACUGCUUUGUGUCAACGCUUCGGCUCACGACAGUUUACGCUUCUUCUCUUUCUUUUUCUUGUCUUUCUGUGUCUCACUGUCUUUCUUAACUCUUUUUCUCUGACUCCUCCUCUUUCUGUUCCCCCUCUCUCGCUACAGCAUGUCCCUCCCUUCCUCUUUCUGUGUCUCUACGUCCCCCCCUCCUCCCCUCCUUUUUCUCUCCUUCCCUCUUGGCAGCAGUGCCAAAGUGGGCAGGCGGACCGAGGCAAACACAGCACAGGGCAGAGCAGAGGGCGAUACAAAGGCUGGCGAAUUGAUUAUGUGUGUGUUUGUGUUUUGAACUGUCCUGUGACUGUGUCUUCGCGUGUCUCCGUUUUGAUCAUACGCAACUGCACGUACUGUGAGUCUGUCGCGAGUCUGUUUUGGAGCUGUUCUCUUUUUUCUUGUGCACAGUGUGGUUGAUAGUGUGGCUUGUGUGUGUUUUCUGUGUGCGUGAGUGUGUGUAUGUGUGUUAUAGAGCUGUGUGUGAGCAGACGUCCCUCUGUCACCCUGUGUACGGACAGACGCACUCACGCCAGUAGGAGGGGAUUGUGGGAAGGGGGUGUAGCUCUCAGAGGGUGUGCUCUACUCCUCUCUUUUCCCUUCUUCCCGCCAUCACGGCCCUCUUCUCCUCCAGUCCUCCGGCCCAGCCCGCCGCUCACAUACAGGCUCCAGACUGGCAGGAGGAAGGACAGGCCUUCUUGGUUACUUUCUGACCUCAGAGUGUCGACCGAGCCAGAGAGCUGUUGUUGUGUUCAGGUCAGUAUAAGUUUAGCUGCUGACCAGUGUUGAAAAGCUGCACCCACAGGGCAAGUGAGGCGCUUGGCAGGUCUCUUAUCAUCCAGAGCCGUUAUGAUAGGUAAUACGAGGGCAAUAUUUACUUUGUUUCUCAUUCGCUUCACACACUGUUUGCACUUUCUGACUACGUGAAAACUAAGAUAGUUGCUUCACAGGAACAGGUGUGUUUAUACGUUAGAUUUAUCUUUCUGAGAUCCAGAGGUGUGACAGUUUGUUUAAAGGUGGUUUGUCUUGACACACUGCGUCAUCGGCUCCUGUAUAUGAUACUUAACACUACAGGAGGACACACAGGCAGAAAUGAAACUGAGUUAGGUCAAACAAACAGACAACGCUGUAAAGAAAAAUUGCAGUUUAAUGUUGUUGUUCCUCAGUCAUUCUUUCACAUUUUAUCAGUAAUGCUGUAGAUUUUUUUAUCACUAGUCUGACCUGCUGUUGAAAAAAAGAAAAAAAAAUAUAAACGUAAACAGUAGCAUUUAUCUGAUUGAUGUGUAUCUUAGUCAGCUGCAAGAAAAAAAAGCCUGUUAUUCAUAUUACACUGCUUAUUUUGAUUACGGACGCAUGUCAGAGGCCAGAAUGCCAUAAAACAAAAGCAAAAUAUCAAUGUUGUGCUUUAAUUAAACAGAAUAUGGAAAUUAACCAGCAACUGAUUCGAUUACUCAACGUACUUUUAGAGGGGAGAUUGAAUUUUAUGAAAUAUCUGCAUAUUGCCUGUACUAUUAGGACUCUAACUGGACUGCUUAUUGUCAGUACUGUAUCUUAAUCUAAAUAGGGGUUGGUGGUAAGAUGGCGCCUUCGUGCCACGUGUUUAAGAAACAGUGAAUAUGGGCAGACCCUUUCAACAUACCCCUCACAAUUCAUGGGUAAACUACUCCUAAUUCGUCUGCAUCAGCCUCUGUCACUUCAAAUCACUCAGCUUUGGCAUAAAGCGACAAAUUGUCUCAUAAAAAAGAACGAGGAGAACCUCUUUUUAAGCAUAUCGACAUGUGACAGUGAUGAGAGGAAAAUGUUGAGAAAGAAGAAGCUGGAGAAAAAUAGAGAGAACAAGGGUUACAGAGACAGAAAGAGAGGCAGGAGUGGGAGAGCUCUUUCCCCGCCCCUCUCUUAUCCUCAGAUGAACUUAUCGUGUUGCCUCAUAAUGUUUCUGAGUUUUUCUCCUAGAGGCAGUCAGGCUAACUUCCUGCAUUCAGCCUCAACAUAGCUGAUUGGUUGAUAUCUUGGCUGACCGGCUGCGUUUUGCAGCGAGGCAACAGGAAGUUUCUUUUCUCAUGCAGGAAGCUGCAGCUGUUUCGACCCGACAUACACCACUUUGCACUCUUGCACGCAUACUCUCUGUAUACAUGCACACAAAUAUGCACGCACACCCUCUUUGAAAGGGCAUACCUUUCCAAGUGUUUGUGUCUAGUGUGUUGUGUGCACGUAUGGCCUGCACUGUGUGACAUUAGUGAAUGCUAUAAUAUGUGGGCGUGUAGCAACAUGCCAGGCCAGGCAUCAGAGCUAUAAGAAACAUCUGAAACCAUGGUAACCACACAUCUCAUCAGCACAUUAGCAAAAGCAUAGACAAGUAAAAAAGAGGAGAGGGGAUAGAGAGAGUAGAUGAAGAGGAGGAAAGAAACCUUUGAUGUAUAUUUUCUUCAUUCAGGUCACUGGCCAUCUGUGUAGUUGGAGGGUAUAACUAACUCACCAUUGAUGGUCAGUGAUUGCUCACUUUUUUUUCUUUAUCAUAUAAUAACUCAUUCUCUUGAAUGAGUUGGAACCAGUUCAUGUGCAUAAAAAUACAUUUUUUAUUUUACAACAAACUAACCUAAGAAAUGCCGAAAUACGUAUAGAUCUAAAAUUUGAUCGUUUUUAUACUGAUUAUUCAACUUUGCUCCACUUCUCUGUGUGGGUAUCUAUGGGUGAAAUGAUUGCUGGACACUGUGAUAGUCAAUACAAUGGCUCCCUUAUACUCCAGCCUUAUCUGGGUCAUACUAUCGUUUCAUCAGACACAUUGCAUGUUUACCUAGCUCUUAGGCCUGUGAGUCCAGCAUUUGUGUGUGCAGCCCUCUAUCUCACAAAAGGGAGAAGCUGAUGGCAAAAGGACUGGAAGUAUUUUCAUUUAAUUACCAUUUAGUAAAUCAGGAUAAGAUAGGCUGAGCUUCUUUUGUGUUCACAGUUCAAGCAACUGUUGUGUGUGCAUGUGUGUGUGUGUGUGUGUGUGCAUGUGUGUGUGCGUGUGUUGUGUCUACCAGCGUGUGGUUGUAUGUAAGUACAUGCAUAUGGCAGCGUAUUUCAGUUCAGUACAGUACAUGUGAGCAUGAGCGCUGUGUGCUUGCGUUUGGUUAAUGAGGAUAUACAGAACAUCAGAGCGGGCAACAUGCCAAGUGGGCACGGAGAAGGCUCUGUGCUCCUGUCCUUCGUCCUUUAAUGUAGGAAAUCAGGCAUUCCUUAGGGAGCGGGGAAGGUGAAAAAGCUGGUACCAUUAAACAAAACCAUAGCGAUCUAUUGAGGAUCAGCCCUCUUUCUUGUGUUUGCCAGAUGCCCGGACACAAUUUUUCUGUGGAGUAAGACUGGACAUGAGUAAGAGGAGACAUCUGUUUGUAUCUUUUUGACUGUGGGAAUUCUUCAUCCUGCCAUUUAUUGUGUGGCAUACUUCCUCUUGCCAACUCCAGCUCGCCCACCGCUCCUCCUCUUUGCCCACCAUCACCACCUCCUUCCUCCCUCAUUGAAAUUCUGCCUGGCACACAGACACUGGCCAUUCUUGGCACAAAGCUCAGAGAGAGAGAGAGAGAGAGAGAGAGAAAGAGAGAGAGAGAGAGAGAGAGAGAGAGAGAGAAACACACAAGAACCUGUACCAAUCGUCUGGUGCCCCCUCCGUUGUGUCUGUGCCAAGCAUUCAUCCCGUCUCGCGGACCAAGGGACCAGGCAAUCCAAUAGGUAUUUCCCUGCCUCUGCUUCCUGCGAAAAUCUGCUCCAAUUCUGAGGAGUUUUGUUGGCAUCUGAGUGUGCUGUGUGUGUUUGGGGAUUUGCUAAUUAAUUUGUGUGUUUACGUCGUUUGCGUAUUGGGUGAGGAGCAAAUCCGAUGAAUCCUGCAUCCUUUCACAGUGUGAGAGGAAGCUAAGGCCUAUUGUUUCCACGAUAUUUUUCAAAUGAAUUUUCGCAUGGCUUGUUAUUUAUGCAUUCUUUUUGUGUAUUUUGAAAGCACAGCAGGUUUAUGUUGAUGUCGGAAGUUUGUGAAACUUGUAUAAUAAACACUGGUAAUUCAGUUUAGCUGCCAUUUUGAUAUUAUUCUCUCAACUUAUUCUAUAAUUGUGUUGUGGAGUUAGUGAAUAGUUUGACGGCUUGUCUUCAUUAUUUUAUGUGUGUUUCCUUUUUUUUUUAUAGUUGUGGCAGUGUCACAAAAUGAAUUUAUUUAAAACAAAUAUUUGAUGUUGAAGUUAAGUGCCAAACAUCUGCCUGAAACUUAUUGAAAAAGAUAAGACCGCCUGUGCUCAUAGCUGAGAAGACGUUUUGGAAUACCCAGAAGAAGCUAACUGUAACUGUCACCCAGAGAAAGAUUAACAUACUCAAGCAGGAAAUUGUCUCCAGAAAAACAUAUCCUGGUUGGUCACAGCAAAGCGGUGUUAUCAGAGGACAAGAGAGGACAAGGUCCACGUUUCUUGGCUUACAUAGAAUAGUGCUAAUGUGAAUUUACUACCAUUUAGCCAUAAUUCUGCUGUGACAGAUGCACAGACAGACUGUCUGAUAGGCAGAUGAGAUUAACUCAAUAGGCCACAUUUCUGCCUUUUCUUGUAUUUUCCUCAAGAUCCUCUCAGCUGCCCCACAGGCUUGAGAUGCAUUUAUUUUGGAGCUGUUGACAGAGAAAAUGAUUUGCCCCAGCAGAGCCAUGUGUGCCCCUUUUAUGUGCCAUAGACAAAGUCCAUGAUCACAGACAACAGCGCCCAGUGGAGCUCACAUGACUGAGUCUGGUUUCAGUGUUUCCAAAACAGUCGGGAGUUGUGCAGGGAAUGGGACAGCAAUUUUUGCAAUUAACCCAGAAGCACAGAAUUCCGCACAAUUCGUGUUUAUAUCUUUUUUCUUCAUUCGAGGCCAUGCUCACAUGUCCUGUUAAAUCUUCAUUACUUUGACCCAUUUCCCCCAGUGCACUGUGUUAUAUCAUUAUUAGUCUGUUGCCCUCGUCCUCCAAAUACAGCUCCAGUCAGGGGAUGUUUCUUGGCGACCAAACAGAGCUCGUAGAUCUGUCACUGGCAUGGUGGCAGAGUUGGGCAUCAUGCCAACGCACCCCCACCCCCUUCUGUCUGUCUGGUCUUCUGUAAUCAGGCUAGUAGGGUCUACUGCAUGCUAACUAUGGGCUGGUCUGGACCAAGUCUCAGGGGUUGUGGCUGUAUGCUAAUUUAUGCAACCAGUGUACCUCCUAACCCUUUUCUCUGUCUAUCUGAGGCCUAGGUCUGGCAUUUAGUCUGGCACACAUUAACCCUUCAGUCGCUGCCGUGUUAACCUGCAAGCCCGUCCCAACCCUUAUCCCAUAAGAGUACAGUGGCUGGAGGAUAAGCAACAUCUUUCAUGAUGAAAUUAACGGUACAAGGAAAAAUCACGGAGACACGGACAUGCUGUAUGUGAAGAUGCUUUUUCUGUGUGAACUUUCCAGCUGUCUGAUAAGAAAUGUUUUAGUUGCUCUCUCACUCAGUGCCUGUGACAGAGUGUGUCGUCUGGGUCUGUUGGCUUCGUCUCAGUGCUUGGCACAAGAUUGAUUCCUCAUCACACUCGAUAGAACAGCGGCUCCUUCUUCAUCAUGAGACAGCAGGCUCAGGGAAAAACCUGAAAGGUAGACCUUAUAGUGUUUUUAAGCAGACCUAAAAUGGCCGAUGCGCGAGACGCCAUUUUGUGUUUCCUUGUUGUGUUUUGGGGGGCAGAAUCCCAGCCUUGUAUUCAAUCAGAGGCAGCUGGUGGAAGCCAUAUUUGCAGGCAUCUGUGUGUGUACCUCCGUCUGACAAGCAGCAGCCAGCCUACACAGGGAUAGCCCACUGGAAUGAGCUCAGUUUUUGGCAAAAACGGAAACGAAUUCCUGGCACAGAGUCGAGCAGUUCUUUUUUUUCUCUCUCUCUUUCGAUCACAUGCCAGAGUCUAAGGAAGUCAGUGAGUUGUUUGGUGGGCUUUCACACAUUAGUACUCUCACUUUCCGAUGUCUGCUUACCGUUAAAUUAUUUGUCUUUGCUCCACUUUAAUGGAAUGGAUUUCCUAAAGACAUUCAGCUCUUCAACAACAACAAAAGCUUGGUCGAUCGGCGAGGAUGUGCCAAAAUGCAAAAUUUCCGUGGGUCUUCUUUUGUGAAGAGGUGGUAAAUGUUUCUCCAAAUCUUGGCAGGUGAAGACUUGUUGUCAUGAAGCACGAGCAGGUUUUGCCAUAAGUCAUGAUUUUGAAUCAUUUCCAGGAAGCGAUUUAAACGAAAACAAAGAAUCAGACACAGAGAUAAAACUGAAAAUAUAAUUACACUCCUUUCUGCGGAGAUUGAAUUUGAACACAAGUCCAAAAUGUUACGUAAAUAUACACGUCUAAAGCGACACUCCUAUCCAGCUUUAUCUUGCAUGUAUUUUACAGAAAAGACUAGUUAAUUAAGAUAACCCUCUCUGUCUCUUUUUCUUUGUGCCAUUGCAGGAGUUUUACCUUUGAGGAUCUUUUCUGCUGAAGCAACAUGGAUGCUGUCCUUGGGGCUGAGGUAGUAGAUUGAAUAGUUGUGGGGUUCUGUAACCUCUUUUUGAGAUAACUAUACAAUCUACUGUCUUUCCCAAGGAGACAGCUGAGUCAGCCACUCGCCGACUGUCAUCUCCAGAUGGGCAAACAUGCUGUCCAAUCAAAACAUAUGCUUGCAGCAAAUGAAAAUAAUGCAUUGUGACAGGCAUUGUUUGUUAUGUUUUUUUUUUUUUUUGUUUGCUAGAGUGGAAAAAUUAGGUGUCAUGCUCCCUAACAGGUGAACUUGUGGUUGGUGUGCUUGAUUUGGGCUCUGUCAGGGUGAGGUAGUAGGUUGUAUAGUUUGGUGGGUGGGAUUGCACCCUGCUCAGGUGAUAACUAUACAGUCUAUUGCCUUCCCUGAGGAGCUCCCUGAACACUCAUCAAUAUUGAACACACUCCCAAGGCUGAAAAUCACAUAUAUUCUCCGACAUCAUAAAAAAAAAAAAGGAUCAGGUACAUAUGUGCUGCAAAAGGAUUGGUGUUGAACUGAUUUCACCUGUCACAUGACUUGCUUUAAUAAAUGUACAUCUCAAUAAAGUUCUACUUGCCUCAAA